UGCUAGGUUCUCGCUGGUGGGUUGUUACCA
This 30-nucleotide non-coding RNA is filed under the name Mus musculus (house mouse). The record is from RNAcentral. Lineage: Eukaryota; Metazoa; Chordata; Mammalia; Rodentia; Muridae.